RNAcentral lists this long non-coding RNA (387 nucleotides) under Homo sapiens (human). RNAcentral's name for it is "HSALNT0318379". The record is from RNAcentral. Lineage: Eukaryota; Metazoa; Chordata; Mammalia; Primates; Hominidae.
CUAAAAGUGGAUCGCUUGGAUUCAGGCCUAGCUUUGUUACAAGCAAGGGCGGGAGCAUAUCGUUUCACUUCUCUGGGCCUCAGUUUCCCCUUUUGUUAAGAGAUGAUGUCUUGCUACAUUGUCCAGGCUGGACUUCAACUUCUGGGCUCAAGCAGUUCUCCUGCCUUAGCUUCCUGAGCAGCUAGUACUACAGGCACGAGCAACCAUGCCCAGAUGGUGAGCUGGAGGUGCUGAGAGCUUCAACAACGCACCCAAGUCAGAUGGGAAGUCAAAUGCUUGGCCACCCUCAAACUCUCUGUUUUUACUCUGCAAGAAACUUCCCAACAGACAGUUCGACAGCCUCCCAAAUGCCAAUGGGCAUGAAAUAUGGUUUUCUCCCAAGUCCCU